AACAGUUGUAAUAUUGAACAUCAUAUUUUCUCUCAAGAAGAGAGUAGACCACCAAACAUUUGAAGAUCACAAGUGAAAGGUUCCACUUGUGUUGUGAAACGGAUAGAAACGAGAGUACUUGAGAGAACCGCGUUCCUCUUGUGUUCCCGUAAGAACUUGGUACUUGUUAACUUGUUUUGUAAAGGUUUUAGAGUUUGGUACACUCUUUAGUUUCUACCUAAUAAUUUCUCUUUGUGUUAAGUUAUCUAUCUCCUUAUUUCUCAGGUUAGUGUAUUUGUUGUUCUCGUUUGAUGUCUUGUACGUGUGGACUGUUUUUCUGAGUUUGUGGACUUUUUUGUGAUCUUGUAGAUACCAUUUGGUAUAAAAUCUAAGGCUGGUUGUGUUCCUACACUACCAAUCUUGGGCUCUCUAAGUCGAAAAAAAAGAGGUGUUGAAAAGAUGAAAAUUUCAAAAAGAAGCAAAUCUGUCUAUUCUUGUUGUCUUGGCCAAAAUUGUGUCUUGUUGUUUUUUUGGCCGAGAUUUGUGUAUAGUUUUAUUGUGACUUUUGCAUGUUUUGUGUGUUAUAGUGUUAGAUCUUUAUUUCCUAAUCAUAGAAGAGGUGUCCAAGAUCAAAAAUCUUACAAAAAGAAGUUAUUCUACGGGUUGGGUGUCUUGGCCGAAGUGUUGUUGUUGUUUGGCCGAAUUUGUGUCUAGAUUAGGUGUUAUUUUACUUGUCUUAGUAGUUUCGUGUGUUAGCUUGUUGAUUCCCUAGAACACUUGAGUCUAAAGUCCAAGAUUUGAACCUUGUUAAGUUGUUGUUGAAAGGUUGGACGAUUUAGAUAUUGUUAUUAUUCAAAGUGUUCUUAUUGUUGUUCUUGAGUAAUAUUCAACAAAAGGCCUUGUUUGAUUUGAAAAAAGGAAGAGAGAGGUAAGGAUUGUGUUGUCUUGGGAAUACUUUCAAGACAACACUAAAGUGGAAAAGAAACAAAUACCUACCAAAAUCUUGCCUACCAAAAGAGUGUCAAAACAUCUUUCAAGAAAGGCCAAAAGAGGAAAGGGAAAAGACAAGGCAAAAGGGUGUUUUGCCAUUUUAGUGCAAGUUGGUGAAAAAAUGAUGUGCACCUUUUGACCUUUGGGAAAAGAGUUCAGAGUCUUUUUUUCUCAUUCCAAAACCAAAAAUCAUCACCAAAAUAACUAGAUUUAACAACUUAAAUUGAAAAACAUCAACUUUCAAGCAAAAACAACAACACCAACGGCCAAAAAAAAAAUUAAAAAAAUAAAAAGUGUGGACUACAUCAACAACAAAACUCAAGUCAUAGGAACUUCUAAGUUUCUUUCCUUGUCUCUACUAGUUUCUUUCUAUUUGUCUCCUAUACUAGUUGACAACUAAGUAACAACCUACUAAGUUGUGAACUAGUUUUUGAGUACGUCUUUCGUGUCAACAUUCUUUGUGGUGAUUUGAUCAUUUACAAUUCGUAGUUGUUCUUGGCUCAACUGUGUACAAAACUUCCUUGAGUCUUUAAAACCGAAAUCCAUUCUAACUCAAGAGUAUACUCGUUCCUAAGCACUCAAGGAUUGAUACCCGGCUUACAACACUUGAAGAACCAAGUGAGGAAGCCGAGUGUGAAGAAUGUGUAAGCAUAUUUUGAACUAACGUUCUCUUGUUUUAUAGGUACAAUUGCAAAUGGAACUCAAAAAUUCCAAUGCUCCAACCGUGGACAAUAAUGUUAUAAAUGUCCUCUUAGCUAGUCUUGAAACUUUGUCUCGAGGCGUGGCUAAGAUGAAGGCAAAUGUUCAGAAAUUGGGUUCAGAUGUGGCCUUAAUGAGUGAGAGGUUGGAGAGGAUGGAAAGCCAAAGGAUUUCUCGACCUCAUACCCCUCAAACCACCUCACCUACUAUUACUCCCGAAACCUUGCACCAAAUAUUGUAUCCACCAAGUGCUACAAACCAAGUCAAUCUUUAGUCCCAAAGCCGAGAACAAGAUAGACCUAGCCAUUCUUCACUCCACCAAGUUCCACAAGGAGGACUUGGAACCAAAAUUCUAUCCCUAAACCCGAAUCCUCCACUCCAAAAUCCUCCAAUUCAAAGACCCUACACUCUACUAAAUCCAAUGUCUCCUUCCCAAGCUACACUAACCUAGAAAUACCCCAUCUAAGUAGAAAAAGAGGGAGAGUUAGGAUCCAAGGAGAAUGAGUUCAAGCCUCAAGAUGGAGAGAAACUUAGUGGUCAGGUACAAGAAGAAUGUGAAGAAAAGAGGGCAAGGGAAAGAAAAACCGCGGGCAGUGAAGUAGGAAAGAAAAAGAAAAAUGUGCUUAUGGGAUUUGCCCACAAAGGAUAUUUGAUGCUCACUAACCCACAUUCUAUCACUUUUCCUAGCAUUGAUCCUUCUUAUGUAUAGGUUCAAGUUCAUAUGCUAUCAAAUAAUGAUCAAAAAGGGGUUCCACAUGAUAACAUGGGAAAUGAGCUAGUGACAUCCUUGGCCGAGAGAUCCAAACAAGUGGAAUAUUAUGGCAUACACCGAGUGGAAGGAAGUUUGGUGGAUGGUUUUCUUGCUUGCAUGAUGGUGAUAUGUGGUUGAGGUGGAUCUUAAGAUCAAUAGUGGCACUAUAUUUGAUGAGGUCCUUUGUAAAGGUGCGAAUUUAAGAACAAAUUCCUUUGAAUGUGGAGAGGAUGCUACAAGCAUGAGGAGCACAAGGAUCACAAGUUUUUGUUAAAGGUCAAAUUUCAGAUUUGCAAAGUGAAUUGAAGACCUUUUUCAAAUCCUUGUCCAAGCUCGGGAACUACAAAGACUACAAGGCACGUUUAUGAAAAUAAAUGCGUUUGAGCUUGUUGUGAACGUGCCCAAGGGAGUGUACGCCUUGACAUACGAGGUCUGGCCUUAGGUGCUGAAAAAUACACCCAAGGCUUCCCCAAAUACACUCCACACCCGCCAACCUCAUUAAGGGCAAAGGAGUCCUUUCCCAAUAUCUUUUGUAAUAGACUAUUUAAACAUUUUCGUUAGCCUUGUUCUUUAGGUAGUUCAUUCUUGAAAACACUUGUAAUAUUGAACAUCAUAUUUCCUCUCAAGAAGAGAGUAGACCACCAAACAUUUUAAGAUCACAAGUGAAAGGUUCCACUUGUGUUGUGAAAUGGCUAGAAACGAGAGUGCUUGAGAGAACCGCGUUCCUCUUGU
This is a long non-coding RNA of Capsicum annuum, 3151 nucleotides long. RefSeq lists it as uncharacterized. The record is from RefSeq and is a predicted model, not a curated record. The transcript is spliced from 3 exons. Lineage: Eukaryota; Viridiplantae; Streptophyta; Magnoliopsida; Solanales; Solanaceae.